This 1122-nucleotide long non-coding RNA is filed under the name Macaca mulatta (Rhesus monkey). RNAcentral describes it as "lncRNA (ENSMMUG00000049419.1)". The record is from RNAcentral. Lineage: Eukaryota; Metazoa; Chordata; Mammalia; Primates; Cercopithecidae.
CAGCCUCGCAAGGUGACCUGACAGGCUCCAGAAGAAAAGUUUCACUAGAAUUCAAUAAGGAAACCAAAGAAUUGCUCAGAUAGAAGAACAUUUCAGUCCUGAUAUUUGCUGUAACUAAUAACUACUGGAUAAACAAAGAAGGCACAUGGAGGAUCUUUUACCUGGGUCCAACAAAACAACAGCAGCAAGUUGAAAAAAGCAAAAAAAAAAAAAAAAAAAAAAAAAAAAAAAAAAAAGAGAGACCAAGGUGCAAUUACAAUCCUAUCCCACAAAGAGGUCAAAGGCUACCCAAAAGACCAGUCGGCCGCAGGAUCCUCAAAUCAUCUAAGCCAUUCGUAUACUCUCAGGUAUGUUACAGAUGGUCUCCAAUUUUAUUUGUAUCUGAAUUUGUGGAGAGGAUGCAGGGAAAAUCAUGUUUGUUGGCUUACCUAUCCUGACACAGACAUCAGGUUACUACUAAAACACACGAUUCUACAGUUGUACUACCAGUAACAGUUCAAAAAGUACUUUCCUCAUAUGUUAUCUACAUUUGAUGCUAAAUGUACUUGUGAGUUAUGUAAUAAUGUCCUCUUGCAUAUAUAAUGUUUAUCAAUAAACCAACAUCAUGAAUCUGCCCAAUAAAAUCAGGUUUAAACAUGGGUUUCCAGUUCCAGAUUUUUCCUCCAGGCCUUGCUUCUUCCAAAUCUUUCCUUUUGUAGUAGAUUUACACGUUUCAUCAAAAUAAGUCUAGUUGACAUGUUUAAGGUAAUUCUUUAACUUUCCAACCAUAUUCUUCUUUAUUGCUUAUCAUUUUACCUGCUGGUUGUCAUUUGAAAUUCUGUCCUUUCCCUGGAAUCUGAAGUAAGUUGGUAAAGACUCAGAAUUCCUAAUGUUGCAAUGCAUUAUUUACUUUUGUAGUACAUUUACACAUUCCAUCAAGAUGAGUCUAUUUGACAUAUUUAAGGUAAUUUGUUAACUUUCCAACCAUGUUCUUCUUCAUUGCUUAUCAUUUUACCUGCUGGUUGUCAUUUGCAAUCCUCUCGUUGCCCUGGAAUCUGAAGUAAGUUCGUAAAGAUGUAGAACUCCUAAUGUUGCAAUGCAUCAUUUCUAGGAUUUAACUGACUUCCCUGACAUCAAAUUGUG